GGUGGCUCAGUGGUAGAGCGCUUGUCUCACAUGCGGGAGGCCCGGGGUUUGAUUCCUCAGCACCA
This 65-nucleotide transfer RNA is filed under the name Dipodomys ordii (Ord's kangaroo rat). It matches the Rfam family "tRNA". Rfam says of the family: Transfer RNA (tRNA) molecules are approximately 80 nucleotides in length. Lineage: Eukaryota; Metazoa; Chordata; Mammalia; Rodentia; Heteromyidae. The record is from Rfam by way of RNAcentral.